Molecule: ribosomal RNA, 2862 nt
Filed under: freshwater metagenome
Description: bacterial LSU rRNA
Rfam family: Bacterial large subunit ribosomal RNA
Source: RNAcentral
AGAGCAUGUGGUGGAUGCCUUGGCAAUGAUAGGCGACGAAAGACGUGAUAGCCUGCGAUAAGCUUCGGGGAGCUGGCAAAUAAGCUUUGAUCCGGAGAUUUCUGAAUGGGGAAACCCACCCUUAGGGGUAUCGCAUGAUGAAUACAUAGUCAUGCGAGGCGAACCGGGUGAACUGAAACAUCUCAGUAGCUCGAGGAAAAGACAUCAACCGAGAUUCCGAAAGUAGUGGCGAGCGAAAUCGGAAGAGCCUGUUAGUGAUAGCACACUUGUUAGCAAAGCGGCAUGGAAAGGCCGACCAUAGUGGGUGAUAGUCCCGUAUGCGAAAACAAAUGUGUGGUACUGAGCUAACGACAAGUAGGGCGGGACACGAGAAAUCCUGUCUGAAUAUGGGGGGACCAUCCUCCAAGGCUAAAUACUCAUCAUUGACCGAUAGUGAACAAGUACCGUGAGGGAAAGGCGAAAAGAACCCCGGGAGGGGAGUGAAAUAGAUCCUGAAACCGCAUGCUUACAAAAAGUAGGAGCCUCGUAAGGGGUGACUGCGUACCUUUUGUAUAAUGGGUCAGCGACUUACAUUCAGUGGCAAGGUUAACCGAAUAGGGAAGCCGUAGAGAAAUCGAGUCCGAAUAGGGCGAUCAGUCGCUGGGUGUAGACCCGAAACCAAGUGAUCUAUCCAUGGGCAGGAUGAAGGUGCCGUAACAGGUACUGGAGGUCCGAACCGACUAAUGUUGCAAAAUUAGCGGAUGACCUGUGGAUAGGGGUGAAAGGCUAAACAAACUUGGAAAUAGCUGGUUCUCUCCGAAAACUAUUUAGGUAGUGCCUCAAGUAUUACCGACGGGGGUAGAGCACUGUUUUGGCUAGGGGGUCAUGGCGACUUACCAAACCAAGGCAAACUCCGAAUACCGUCGAGUACAGCUUGGGAGACAGAGCACCGGGUGCUAACGUCCGGACUCAAGAGGGAAACAACCCAGACCGCCAGCUAAGGUCCCUAAAAUUGGCUAAGUGGGAAACGAAGUGGGAAGGCUAAAACAGUCAGGAUGUUGGCUUAGAAGCAGCCAUCAUUUAAAGAAAGCGUAAUAGCUCACUGAUCGAGUCGUCCUGCGCGGAAGAUGUAACGGGGCUAAGCCAGUUACCGAAGCUGCGGAUUUGCAAUUUAUUGCAAGUGGUAGGAGAGCGUUCUGUAGGCCUGUGAAGGUGGUGGUGUAAACCCUGCUGGAGGUAUCAGAAGUGCGAAUGCUGACAUGAGUAGCGUUAAAGGGGGUGAAAAGCCCCCUCGCCGUAAGCGCAAGGUUUUCUACGCAACGUUCAUCGGCGUAGAGUGAGUCGGCCCCUAAGGCGAGGCAGAGAUGCGUAGCUGAUGGGAAACAGGUCAAUAUUCCUGUACCGAUGACAAGUGCGAUGUGGGGACGGAGAAGGUUAGCUCAGCCAACUGUUGGAUAUGUUGGUUCAAGCCUGUAGUCGUGCUCGGUAGGCAAAUCCGCCGGGCUUAGAUGAGGGGUGAUAACGAGGGUGCUUGCACCUGAAGUGAGUGAUACCCUGCUUCCAGGAAAAGCCACUAAGCUUCAGCUACACACGACCGUACCGCAAACCGACACUGGUGCGCGAGAUGAGUAUUCUAAGGCGCUUGAGAGAACUCAGGAGAAGGAACUCGGCAAAUUGACACCGUAACUUCGGAAGAAGGUGUGCCCUAGUAGUGUGAAGUGAACAACGGAGCAUGAAUGGGUUGCAAAAAAUCGGUGGCUGCGACUGUUUAAUAAAAACACAGCACUCUGCAAACACGAAAGUGGACGUAUAGGGUGUGACGCCUGCCCGGUGCUGGAAGAUUAAAUGAUGGGGUGCAAGCUCUUGAUUGAAGUCCCAGUAAACGGCGGCCGUAACUAUAACGGUCCUAAGGUAGCGAAAUUCCUUGUCGGGUAAGUUCCGACCUGCACGAAUGGCGUAACGAUGGCCACACUGUCUCCUCCUGAGACUCAGCGAAGUUGAAAUGUUUGUGAUGAUGCAAUCUACCCGCGGCUAGACGGAAAGACCCCAUGAACCUUUACUGUAGCUUUGCAUUGGACUUUGAAUCGGUCUGUGUAGGAUAGGUGGGAGGCUUUGAAACCAGGAUGCUAGUUCUGGUGGAGCCAACCUUGAAAUACCACCCUGAUUUAUUUGAGGUUCUAACCUUGGCCCGUUAUCCGGGUCGGGAACAGUGCAUGGUGGGCAGUUUGACUGGGGCGGUCUCCUCCCAAAGUGUAACGGAGGAGUACGAAGGUACGCUUGGCACGGUCGGACAUCGUGCCUAAAGUGCAAUGGCAAAAGCGUGCUUAACUGCGAGACCGACAAGUCGAGCAGGUGCGAAAGCAGGUCAUAGUGAUCCGGUGGUUCUGUAUGGAAGGGCCAUCGCUCAACGGAUAAAAGGUACUCUGGGGAUAACAGGCUGAUACCGCCCAAGAGUUCAUAUCGACGGCGGUGUUUGGCACCUCGAUGUCGGCUCAUCUCAUCCUGGGGCUGUAGCCGGUCCCAAGGGUAUGGCUGUUCGCCAUUUAAAGAGGUACGUGAGCUGGGUUUAAAACGUCGUGAGACAGUUUGGUCCCUAUCUUCCGUGGGCGCUGCAGAUUUGAGGAAGCCUGCUCCUAGUACGAGAGGACCGGAGUGGACACACCUCUGGUGUAUCGGUUGUCACGCCAGUGGCAUUGCCGAGUAGCUAAGUGUGGAAGAGAUAACCGCUGAAAGCAUCUAAGCGGGAAACUCGUUUCAAGAUGAGAUCUGCCGGGGCCUUGAGCCCCCUAAAGAGUCGUUCAAGACCAGGACGUUGAUAGGUCAGGUGUGGAAGCGCAGUAAUGCGUUAAGCUAACUGAUACUAAUUGCCCGUUAGGCUUGAUC